Cercocebus atys (sooty mangabey) is the source of this 2627-nucleotide RNA transcript. It is a transcript of the gene named PDZ and LIM domain protein 1 pseudogene, with no coding region annotated. Lineage: Eukaryota; Metazoa; Chordata; Mammalia; Primates; Cercopithecidae. The transcript has 2 exons. The record is from RefSeq and is a predicted model, not a curated record.
CCAAACACUGCCUGUUCUCACUCAUAAGUGGGAGAAACAGAGCCCCGGACCAUGAGGCUUCCCCUGCUGGACAGCAAGGACCUCCAGCAGCCCCUCAGCUGUUUCCCAGUCACUUUCAGAAGCAAGGCUGCUAUAGCUAAUUGAUGUAUGAAAGAUGUAAUUGCAGCCAUUGAUAGGGAAAAUAUCAGCAAUAUGAUGCACUUGGAAGCUCAGAAAAAAAUCAAAGGCUACACAGACAACAUGACUGUCACACUAGCCAGGUCUGAAUAUAAAAUCUAGUCUCUUCUGGUGACGGAGGAAAGGAAGUGUCAUCCAUACAAGAUGAAUUUACACUCUGAACCCCAGGAGGUCCUGCACAUAGGGAGUGCCUGCAAUCCAAAUACCAUGCUCUUUACUGCCUCUCCUGCUUCCAGCACUUUCCCUGGGGUCAUCCAAACCAGUACAGCAACCCAGCUGGCCUCUCUUCUUCUGAAAACAUCUCCAACUUUAACAACACCUUGAGAUAACAUACUGCUGGUAUUUCAAAAACUGCUGCCAGCAGGGAGGAGGCCAAUGGCGUGCCCAUAGCUCAUGUUCAGCCUCCAAGUGGCCUCAUCAUCAACGAAGAAUCUGAAAUUUACAAGAUGCUUCAGGAGAAACAGGAGUUGAACGAACCCCUGAAACAGUCCACCUCUUUCCUGAUUUUGCAGGAAAUCCUGGAGUCUGAGAUAAAAAGGCAUCUCAGCAACCCUCAUGAUUCAGAAGUGUUAAGAUUCCCGACCCCGAAGUGGCUGCAUCAAUUGGAAAUGCUCAGAAUGUGCCCGUGUGUGACAAAUGCGGUCCUGGCAUUGUAGGCGUGUUUGUAAAGCUGUGGAGACCAUCAUCCCCUCCCUGAAUGUUACGUGUGCACUGAUUGUGGCAUUCACCCAAAAGAGAAGGGCUUUUUUUUUUUUUUUUUUUCUUUUCUCCAUCGAAUCUACUGGGAAGAGCAUGCCCAGGAGCAAGUCACACCACCUGAGGGUAUGAUGUGGUCAUCAUGUUCCCCAAGUGAUCCAGCAGACCCGCACUGACCACUGUUCUCCAGCCAGUCUCUGCUGCAGCUUGUUCUCUAAAUGUUCUGGCCUUGUCUCUUGAAAGUUCUGUACUUAACCUUUUUUUUCCCCCUUACCUUGGUUUUAUCCCUGCUUAUUGAACCUUGAGUCCCCUGUCUUGGUUAACUGACUCACCCUGACUAUGUGGUGCUCGCCCACUUUUACAAUGAAUGGCAAACUGUUUUUGUUCGGCGUCCCCUUGCUGGCAACACUAUGUACCUUCCUCCCCUCAGUUCUUCUCUGCUGCAAAUGGACAUCAGCCCACAUUUGAACCAAAUCAAAUAUAAUAUGUCUGACAUUGAUUUCAUUUUUGCUCAAUCGGUAGACUACGAGAAAAAAGAAAUAAAAAAAUGAAAACAAAGAGAAUUUAAAUGAACAAACAGACCCUUCUGGAACCCACUGUGACAUGAGAUGUGUCCACAGUGCAAGGUUUCAGGCACACACUGAAGGAGCAUCUGCUGGAUAGUCCUCCCCGCCCCCAAGUCCUUACCAACCUGUGCCACUGGUGCUUAUUUUUCUUGACUGAUUAGGUAGACACUGAUUUACGCAUGACUCUUUAAUAUUUGAGAGCCUAGAGCUUCCAAUUAAAAUAUGCUAAAAGUAUUUUUUAAAUGUUACAGUGUUCAACCUUAUAAUCAGAUAAACUGUACUACUCAAAAAGUAAAUUUAAUGAAUAUAGGAGUGUGUACACCAUUUCCUGUUUACCUGAUAAAGCUAAUGCUUGGCUCUUUUAAACAGUUUCUGAAUUCUUGCAUUCUCCAUAUUUCCGUGUUCCACAGUGUUUGUACAGUUUUGCUACUCAUUAUUUCCUAAAAGCCUUAAGGUCUUGAGUUCAUCUGGUCUGCCGAUUUCAUGGGUCUUAGGGAAACCGUGUUCUCUUUAGACUUUCCAUGCCAUGAGGGCCCUGGAAGGACAGCCUCAACAACUUUCCCUUCUGUAGUUUUGUUCCUAGAGGGCAAGGACACAGUCUAUUUUGUCAUUUCUCCAGGCCUGCCUGGGUGGGGGUAAGAGCUGGGAGACAGAUGGACCAGCAACAUGGAGUUCCCCUUUGUGUUCUACUUUAAAGCUCUUUGCCAGGAACACUGCAUGAACUUUUAGUUUGUAUUAGUUAAGCUCCAAGGACCAGUCCAUGUUGGGGAAAUUGAAGUGAGCAUGGGCAGGGUACACAAAACUGCACUUUUCUCACCAGAUUCCAAACUGUCCAUCCACAUUUAUGCAGCAGAGAGCCAGAGGUAGUAUAUUCGAGGAGUGGGUGAUGCUGGCAAAAAAUGUAGACCUACAUAAUGUAAAACACACAUGCAGAGUCCUAUAUGGAGGGGUGUUUCAGUCUCAAGUUCUGGAUCCACAUGCUAGUUCCACUUUGGAGUAUGACUUUAAAAUGUUACAUAAUAGAUUUCUGAACCUCCUUCUUCAUUUGUAUAAUGGGAAUAUCAGGCCGACUUAUCUCAGUAGGUGGCUAUGAGAAUCAAAUGAGAGAACGUGUAUGGGCUGAUACUAGUUGCGUACAAUGAUAUGCUCUUCCUAUAGAAUGUUACUCAUUGAAUCUUGUAUCUUUUU